AGUAGUUGAUCAGUGGCUCGAGGACGAACGCUGGCGGUGUGCUUCACACAUGCAAGUCGAACGAGGUAGCAAUACCUAGUGGCGGACGGGUGAGUAACGCGUGGGAAUCUGCCUUUAGAUGGGGGAUAACGGGUCGAAAGACUCGCUAAUACCGCAUAUGACGAAAGUUGAAAGGAGUAAUCCGUCUAAAGAUGAGCCCGCGUCCGAUUAGCUAGUUGGUAGAGUAAAAGCCUACCAAGGCGACGAUCGGUAGCUGGUCUGAGAGGAUGAUCAGCCACAAUGGGACUGAGACACGGCCCAUACUCCUACGGGAGGCAGCAGUGGGGAAUUUUACGCAAUGGGCGAAAGCCUGACGUAGCGACACUGCGUGAGCGAAGAAGCCCCUUGGGGUGUAAAGCUCUGUCAGCUGGAACGAAAAAAUGACGGUACCAGCAGAGGAAGCAUCGGCUAACUACGUG
This 458-nucleotide ribosomal RNA is filed under the name uncultured bacterium. RNAcentral's name for it is "bacterial SSU rRNA". It matches the Rfam family "Bacterial small subunit ribosomal RNA", at positions 1 to 507 of the family's 1533-position model. The record is from RNAcentral.